GGGGAAUAUUGGACAAUGGGCGCAAGCCUGAUCCAGCCAUGCCGCGUGAGUGAUGAAGGCCUUAGGGUUGUAAAGCUCUUUCAGUAGGGAGGAUAAUGACGGUACCUACAGAAGAAGCCCCGGCUAACUUCGUGCCAGCAGCCGCGGUAAUACGAAGGGGGCUAGCGUUGUUCGGAUUUACUGGGCGUAAAGCGCACGUAGGCAGUUUGUUAAGUCAGGGGUGAAAUCCCGGAGCUCAACUCCGGAACUGCCUUUGAUACUGGCAAGCUAGAGUCCGGAAGAGGUGAGUGGAACUCCUAGUGUAGAGGUGGAAUUCGUAGAUAUUAGGAAGAACACCAGUGGCGAAGGCGGCUCACUGGUCCGGUACUGACGCUGAGGUGCGAAAGCGUGGGGAGCAAA
This 399-nucleotide ribosomal RNA is filed under the name uncultured bacterium. Its description in RNAcentral is "bacterial SSU rRNA". It matches the Rfam family "Bacterial small subunit ribosomal RNA", at positions 356 to 772 of the family's 1533-position model. The record is from RNAcentral.